GGAGCGGGGCGGGCGAUCGCCGGGGCAACCCGGAGGAAGGUCCGGACUCCACAGGACAGGGUGCUGGCUAACGGCCAGGCGCAGCAAGCCGCAAGGCCCAAGGCGACGGAAAGUGGAACAGAAAGACACCGCCCAAGCCCCUCGGGGCCGGCAAGGGUGAAAUGGCGAGGUAAGAGCUCACCGCGGCGAUGGCGACAUCGCCGGCAUGCCAAACCCCACCCGGAGCAACACCGAAUAGGCACGCGAUCCGGCUUGCGCCGGGCAGGGUGGUCCGCCCGAGCGUGCGGGUAGGUGGCCAGAGCGGUCGGGCAACCGGCCGCCCAGAGGAAUGAUCGUCACGCCGGGCAACCGGCGCACAGAAUCCGGCCUACAGCCCCGCUCCGCCC
This 386-nucleotide RNase P RNA is filed under the name Betaproteobacteria bacterium. Its description in RNAcentral is "RNase P RNA component class A". It matches the Rfam family "Bacterial RNase P class A". From Rfam's summary of the family: Ribonuclease P (RNase P) is a ubiquitous endoribonuclease, found in archaea, bacteria and eukarya as well as chloroplasts and mitochondria. Its best characterised activity is the generation of mature 5'-ends of tRNAs by cleaving the 5'-leader elements of precursor-tRNAs. Cellular RNase Ps are ribonucleoproteins. The record is from RNAcentral. Lineage: Bacteria; Pseudomonadati; Pseudomonadota; Betaproteobacteria.